This 123-nucleotide ribosomal RNA is filed under the name Candidatus Yonathbacteria bacterium. RNAcentral's name for it is "partial 16S ribosomal RNA". It matches the Rfam family "Bacterial small subunit ribosomal RNA", at positions 1379 to 1514 of the family's 1533-position model. The record is from RNAcentral. Lineage: Bacteria; Candidatus Yonathiibacteriota.
UCUUGUACUCACCGCCCGUCAUGUCAAGGGAGCCGAGAGUGCCCGAAGUCCCACCUUGUGUGGGCCUAAGGUAAGCUUGGUAACAAGGACAAAGUCGUAACAAGGCACGGCUAGCGGAAGCUG